GGCGCGGCGCGCGUCGUGGCGGCGGCGGGCGGGGCGCGUCUCGCACGCAGCGCGCCGGGCGGAGCGCUCGCCGCAUUGUUUGCUUCGCUGGGGAGCGAGCAGCGCCUCGGCAGGCGUCCGAGCAGCUCCGCGUCCGCGUCCUCCGCCCGGCCGGGCCCCGAGCCGGCCUCAGCCGGCCGUGCCGGCGCCGCCGACCCCGCCCGAGCCGCGGCGCCCUGCGGGCCCGGAGCCGCUGGCCGAGCGCGCCCCGGAGCCCGGCGGGGCACGGCUGCGCGGCCGUUGGCGGAGGAGCCGCGGCGCCAUUAGCGCCGCCUCGGCCGCGCCGGCCUCCGCGCCCGCCCGCCCGCCGGGCUCCCGCGGCCGCGGCGCCCCCGAAGGUAAUCAUUGCCAAAUGAGGAGGAAAGGACGAUGCCAUCGAGGUUCUGCAGCGAGGCAUCCUUCUUCCCCGUGCAGUAUUAAACACUCCCCCACUCGAGAAACACUGACCUACGCACAAGCUCAAAGGAUGGUGGAGAUAGAAAUCGAAGGGCGCUUGCAUCGGAUCAGUAUUUUUGAUCCCUUGGAGAUCAUACUAGAAGAUGACCUCACUGCUCAGGAAAUGAGUGAAUGUAACAGUAAUAAGGAGAACAGCGAGAGGCCGCCUGUUUGCUUAAGAACUAAGCGUCACAAAAACAACAGAGUCAAAAAGAAAAAUGAAGUCCUGCCCAGCACCCACGGCACACCGGCGUCAGCCAGUGCCCUUCCCGAGCCCAAGGUGCGGAUUGUGGAGUACAGUCCUCCCUCUGCACCCAGGAGGCCCCCUGUGUACUACAAGUUCAUCGAGAAGUCAGCCGAGGAGCUGGACAACGAGGUAGAGUACGACAUGGAUGAGGAAGACUACGCCUGGCUAGAGAUCAUCAAUGAGAAGCGGAAGGGUGACUGCGUCUCUGCCGUGUCACAGAAUAUGUUUGAGUUCCUGAUGGACCGCUUCGAGAAGGAGUCUUACUGUGAGAACCAGAAGCAGGGUGAGCAGCAGUCCUUGAUAGAUGAGGACGCUGUUUGCUGCAUCUGCAUGGACGGGGAGUGCCAGAACAGCAACGUUAUACUCUUCUGUGACAUGUGCAACCUGGCUGUGCACCAGGAGUGCUAUGGGGUACCCUACAUCCCCGAGGGCCAGUGGCUUUGCCGCCACUGCCUGCAGUCUCGGGCCCGCCCUGCGGAUUGCGUGCUGUGCCCGAAUAAGGGCGGUGCCUUCAAAAAGACAGACGAUGACCGCUGGGGCCACGUGGUAUGUGCCCUGUGGAUCCCAGAGGUUGGCUUUGCCAACACGGUAUUCAUUGAGCCCAUUGACGGUGUGAGGAACAUCCCUCCUGCCCGGUGGAAACUGACAUGCUACCUCUGUAAGCAGAAAGGCGUGGGUGCCUGCAUUCAGUGCCACAAAGCAAAUUGCUACACAGCAUUCCAUGUGACAUGUGCCCAGAAGGCUGGCCUAUACAUGAAGAUGGAGCCUGUGAAGGAGCUGACUGGAGGCAGCGCCACGUUCUCUGUCAGAAAGACUGCUUACUGUGAUGUCCACACGCCUCCAGGCUGUACCCGGAGGCCGUUGAACAUUUAUGGAGAUGUUGAAAUGAAAAAUGGUGUGUGUCGAAAAGAAAGCUCAGUCAAAACGGUCAGGUCUACGUCCAAGGUCAGGAAAAAAGCAAAAAAGGCUAAGAAAACACUGGCUGAGCCCUGUGCGGUCCUGCCGACCGUGUGCGCUCCGUAUAUCCCCCCUCAGAGAUUAAAUAGGAUUGCGAAUCAGGUGGCCAUUCAGCGGAAGAAGCAGUUUGUGGAGCGAGCCCACAGCUACUGGUUGCUCAAAAGGCUGUCUAGGAAUGGUGCUCCCCUGUUGCGGCGGCUCCAGUCCAGCCUGCAGUCCCAGAGAAACACGCAGCAGAGAGAAAAUGAUGAAGAGAUGAAAGCUGCCAAAGAGAAGCUAAAGUACUGGCAGCGGCUGCGACAUGACCUAGAGCGUGCACGCCUGCUAAUUGAGCUGCUGCGCAAGCGGGAGAAACUCAAGAGAGAGCAGGUGAAGGUGGAGCAGAUGGCUAUGGAGCUCCGGCUGACGCCGCUAACUGUGCUGCUACGCUCAGUCCUGGAGCAGCUACAGGAGAAGGACCCUGCAAAGAUCUUUGCCCAGCCCGUGAGUCUCAAGGAGGUACCAGAUUAUUUGGAUCACAUUAAACACCCCAUGGACUUUGCUACAAUGAGGAAACGGCUAGAAGCUCAAGGGUAUAAAAACCUCCAUGCCUUUGAGGAGGAUUUUAAUCUCAUUGUAGAUAACUGCAUGAAGUACAAUGCCAAGGACACCGUGUUUUAUAGAGCUGCAGUGAGGCUGCGCGACCAGGGAGGGGUUGUCCUGAGGCAGGCCCGGCGAGAGGUGGAGAGCAUUGGCCUGGAAGAGGCCUCGGGAAUGCACCUGCCUGAGCGACCCAUCGCAGCCCCUCGGCGGCCCUUCUCCUGGGAAGAGGUGGACAGGUUGCUGGACCCAGCCAACAGGGCCCACAUGAGCUUGGAGGAGCAGCUGAGAGAACUUCUGGACAAGUUGGACCUGACCUGCUCCAUGAAGUCCAGCGGCUCACGGAGUAAACGGGCAAAGCUGCUUAAAAAAGAGAUUGCUCUUCUCCGAAACAAGCUGAGCCAGCAGCACAGCCAGGCUCCGCCCACAGGGGCAGGCACGGGAGGCUUUGAAGAUGAGGCUGCUCCACUGGCCCCGGACACAGCGGAGGAAGGAGCUAACUCUCCCCCUAAACUUGAACCAUCAGAUGCAUUACCUCUUCCUUCAAACUCGGAGACUAACUCAGAACCACCAACCCUCAACCCAGUAGAACUCCACCCCGAGCAGAGUAAACUAUUCAAAAGAGUCACAUUUGAUAAUGAAUCACAUAGCACUUGCACUCAGAGCGCACUGGUAAGCGGACACCCUCCAGAGCCCACCCUCGCCAGUAGUGGCGAUGUGCCGGCGGCGGCGGCCUCCGCAGUGGCGGAGCCAUCAAGCGAUGUAAACAGACGCACUUCUGUUCUCUUCUGCAAAUCGAAAAGUGUAAGCCCCCCAAAGUCUGCCAAGAACACUGAAACCCAGCCAACUUCUCCUCAGCUAGGGACCAAAACCUUUUUGUCUGUAGUCCUUCCGAGGUUGGAGACUCUACUGCAGCCAAGGAAAAGGUCGAGGAGCACAUGUGGAGACUCCGAAGUGGAGGAGGAGUCCCCGGGAAAGCGCCUGGACACAGAAUGGCAGUAGCUUUCAGUGGAUGCAUGAUGAAUUCCUAAUCGCACUCCUGAGCAGCCGGGAGCCUUGUUAGCACUAAGAUCUGACCCUCAGGAACAGGAGGCGUCCACUGCUGCAUCUGCCUGGCCCAUGGUGGGCCAGGCCUGGGCUGAACGGGCCCAUCCUACCAUCGGUGCUGGCUGUGCCUCCACUUGAACCUUGUGGUGCUCUCUGCGCACCUGGAUUUCUUGUUUCAAGUUGCAGUUCUUCGCUGUUUGAGGACUUGGAGUAUUCAGAACCUUCUGGUCUUUUCCAGGUUCAUCGGGCACUGAACUUGUAGGGAAUUCUCUGGUGCUCUCCAGUGCACUGCAAGAUUCCAAGUUAGAUUAAGCGUGGACUUACCUAUUUUAAAACUGCCCACCCACAGGCCUCAGCUUGCUCAUGCCUGCAGGACAGGCAGGCCAUGUGGGCAGUGCCGAGCAUGGUGUGACUGCUCUUAUGGUUUUCAUAUUUUUUGGAGCUGGCUCUGUUUCGUAGGUUUUUUUUACUCUGCCUGUUUAUUUCCAUCAAUGGACCGUCAGGCCAGGACCUGUGUCACCUCUUACUCGUACUCUGUGGUGUGGAGAUUCUCAAUGAAAUGUGUGGUGUGGUAGUGGUGAGCAGGUGAAAUGUCUUCCCUGGCCAUGGACUGUUGAGGGAGGAGAUGAUCCCUGCCCUUGCAGUCAGACUAAAUGGCUUCUCACUGUUUUCCAGGUUUUCAGUUAACCACUAAUGUGCCUGGGUAGCUCACUCUUUGGAUCCUAAUCCUUUUCUCUUAACCUCGACUUGGACUGGAGUUCUGCUAAAUGGCCUCUUGGAAUGCAAAGCCUUCGCUGCCUCCUUACCUUCUCCUAGUUCUUGAGGACCACAUUGGAAUCACCUGCUGAGCCAUCCUCUAAACAGACACCUACCUAACCUUGAAGGAGAUCUGUCCUGGGCCAGCGUACCCCUCUCUCAGCCCAGCAGUUGAGAGGAGCCUGGUGCCUGAGCAGAUGUCUCUCGGUGCCUCCGUCUUGCUGGUGCUAUAGCAGAGCCUGCUGUAGCUUGGACAACACAAUCCAACAGUUUGAGCCUCAUCCUGAGCACACUCAGAACUGACCUGGGAUGGCCGGGGGCUCCGGUUAGGCCGUCGUGGUCUAGGUGUCUGAAGGGACUGACUGCACAUACACUGCCCGAAUGGGCCUAAAUAGAGCUCCUUACUUGGUUGUUAGCAUCUUUUAUUUCUUUGUUCUGUUCUCCCUCCUUUCUUCUCUCUCAAUGUUUCUUGGAUUCGUAGGCAUUGCUAAUCUAGUUGGAACCUGUGCAGAUAUCUGCAGAGCCAGCUGAGAAGUCCUCCUGCAGUGCCCUUGAGUUGGGAGGGCCUUUGGCAUGGCCUCUGGCUUGUGUUGGCCAUGUGCAGCUGUCUUCAUAGACUGUACUUAUGAAAAGCAGAGUGGUGGGUGGGGUGGUCUUGCUCACUGUGCUUUAUUGAAAGGUGGAGCGAUGCACCCAACAUAAAGUUCUUUUGGAGACAACAAAGUCAAGUGUGAUCAGAGGACAGUAAUAGAUGCUUUUGCUGCCACCCUUAGAUGGUUGCAUUCCUAGCCUAGGGCACGGUCCAGCCUGGGACACAAGCUUGUCGAUGUGCACUAGGUGGGAACAAGCUGGAGCUUUGGGCAGCAUGAUUCUGUGCUGUCUCAGAGGAACCUGUGCUCCGGAGGCGUCUGUGGUGGCAGGUGUAUCAGCAAGGAUGCACUCAGUGACUACAGUCUCAGGCACAGCUCAUGGCUUCUGUAGAGGGUGGGAAGCCUGUCAGUGCCCUGAUGCUCUCACGUGCUGCAGCCUGUGAGCUCUUGGCACUGUGCUGGUUGGGAGCCCAGGGUAGAAGGGAUCACGUCCCUACUUCCCCACUGUGUGCUUCUGAGCUUUCCAGGUAGACCACCUGGGACCUCUCCCUGGCCUGUGGGUGAGAGCUGGAGACCUGAGCACCUCAGAGGACCCUUUAUUGGCCACUCCGUGUAACCCAGUUGUGCUGUAGAAGACCUGGGCUAAGGGGGAGCUUUUAGGGAAGAUGUGGUAGUUAAAAGGCUGGGGCUGGGCCUGUCUUGGGACACAGUUGCAGUGGUAUUUUGGUGGGUUCCUCUGGGCCUGAGUAAGGUAUUUGAACACUCUCUUUGGAGGCCUCAGGACCCUCUGUGACUGACAUGUGCUUGGGGUCCUUGGUCUUGUGUAGGAGACAUCUCACCUUUGUUUUGGUUGUCAAGAGCAGUAGGCAUGUGUGUGAUCUUCUACAGUAAGCUUUGGGGGGGGAGGUGAGGGGGUGGGAGGAGCAUCAUUUGGCUCUCCUUCCUGCAGCUAAUUGGAGAGUCAUUGUAGGAAGUGGAUCACAAAGAGCGAAGCAGAGACACAAAGCUCUUUACUUGGCUCUGUGUCAAAGCCAUGUCAUCUUCAGACAGUGUCUGCAAGAGCUUUUCAAGCUUGUGUCUCCGGCCCCUGUUGCUUCUCAGGGCAUGUCCAGGGCCUUGGAAGCCGACAAGAAUCUGGCUGGGCCAUGCAAGCACCGUAGUUGUGUUUGGGCUGUAGCACCCUAUGAAAAGCAGGCCUGGAGAUGGCUCUGCUCAGCGGGCCCCAGAGGUCUUUCCUGAAAGCUGCUCAGGUUUCAUAGUGGCUCUGCCAGCUUCUCAAGGUGUUAGGUAUUUUUAUGUAAUGUGUGAAAACUUUCUGUAAACUUAGGAGCCCAGAUGCAGUGUGCCCUAAUAAUUAGACACUUGGGAAAAUGAGAGAGAGAUUUAAUCAUAUUUUUUCCUUUCUCAAAGUUAUAAAUGUUCUCUUAGUUUUUCUAAACCCCUUCCCCCACAAGGGACUGUUUAGGCCCUGACAAAGUACCUUGCUAUGGGUAAAGCUGUUGCCAUCUUUGUUGGGAACACCAAGUGUGUGUGUGUGAACUGUACUUCUGGGUUCUUCUAGGUUUCUUUCUAGCACAGAGAUGCCAGUGUUGGGGACCUGCUUGUCCAAGACCUUUAGACUCUGCAGACCUGCCUGCAGGUGCCUGCUCUGCCUAGCCAUGGCAGAGAUUCUGGGCUUGUAGUCUUCUAAGAUCUUGAGUCCUGGAGCAAGGGCUUUGCCUCCGUCCGUCCAUCCAGGUGACAGGGCCAUCUCUGUGUUGACUUUGCUAACCUAAGUCAGCAGGUGUCCAUGUCCGAGUUGUGUGUUGCACCGGCCAAGGCAGCACCACGCUCUGUUGCCUCCUAAGAGUUGCUGGGCCUUGAGGCCCUUUAGGAGAGGGGUGUGGCUUCUUCCCUGUCUUGUGUCUUCUGCUUUGCCAGUGAGCAAGCAAACGAGAACUUCUUGAAGCGUUUUUGACCUUUUUUAGCACAAGCAGGUCCUUUCCCAGGCGUGAUAUGGGAGAACGCAACGAAGACCUUGUAAUCUAGACAGUCACCUCAUACUUUUAAGAAAAUGUUUUUCAAAAAUAAGUUUACAUGUUUUACUUUGGAAAAUAGUUUAAAAAAUUUUUUUAAGGUUAUAUGGGGAAGAUGGGUAUAUGUGAACAAAAAGAGUGUUGUCUGUUUGCUGUUCCCGUCCCCUUCUCUUUCUUAAGCUGGUGUAGCCAGCAGGAGCCAUGCAAGCGCACAGCCUGGGGACAGGAUCCUUCUGAUUGAGGGAGGUCUGCGAGGACCAUGGGUGGCCGGGCCUUUCCUGCUUUACCGACAUAGAGUCAGGGUCAGACUUGCCUGCCAGGAAUGUGGUGUGGCCUUGACUCAGAUUGGUCUUUAUUAAAGCACUUCACAAAUCUCCAGAUGCUGUGCUUGCCUUUGUGCAGACAUUGUACCUCAGGGAGACCGUGGCCGCAUGGCUCAGCCUCCUGCCAACUUUACAUUCUUCCUGCUUGGGGACCUGACAUCGCUCGGAUGACUUGGGCCCACACUUGCAGGUUUAAAGUGUUUUAUCCAUAUUUUUAAAAAGUUCUUGUUAACGUUGAUUUUUUUUUAAAAAAAUUUAAUUUAAUUUUACUUUGGCUGGUGGUCAGACCUAGGGCCUUGCAUGCCUGCUAGGCACGUGCUCUCCCACUGGGAUAGACUGCCCUGGUUUUCCUUCUUUUUCCUUCCUUUCUUUCUCUCUUUUCUUACUCCCUCCCUUUUUGUUUGUUUUUGUUUUUAAAGCCUAAUUUUCUAUACUAGUCCUUAAAGUUCUACAUGGUCAGUGUGUUUUGUGGAAUCUUGUAGUGUUCCUCCACUCUAGGGCACUGGAGUGUUUGUGUCUCGACACCGCUUAUUCCUUGUCUAGUGGACAGUCUAGUUUUGAUGUAAGCUCCCAGCCCUUACUCCAUGUGAUCUGUUAACUUGGGAAGUGGUAACAGUUUCUUUUUGCUUUGCUCCCCUGGGACUAGUUGAGCAUGUGCAGAGCUGCUCUGACUUUCUGUGGUCUGUUGUGUUCAUUUUACUCAGCAGUGCCUCUGCAUUUGUCCACGGAGGUCACAGGAGACAUGAGAUACUGGCUUUUGUGUGGACAGUGUUCUUUGUGGGGCCAGUGAUGUAGCUCAGGUGGUAGAGUGCUUAACUAGCAUGCACAAAACUCUGGGCUUGAACCCCAGCACCACACAGACCAGGUCUGGAGGCAAGAUCAGAAAUUCAAGAGCAACCUGAACUCUAUGAGACCCUGUCUUACAAAAGCAAAGUUAUUUGGAAAACACUGUAGUUUUUAAGGAAGAGAGAGAGACGUAGGACUAAGUUGGGCUAAAGCUACUGCUCUGGUGUGUUGUGACUGAGCAUCCGUCUGCUUCUUGCCUUCCAGGUCUCACCAAUGGCUUUGGGGGUGCUAGAAGCGAACAGGAGCCAGGAGGGGGCCCAGGGAGGAAAGCUGCGCCCCGGCGGCGCUGUGCAUCUGAAUCCAGUAUUUGUUCCAGCAACAGCCCACUCUGCGACUCAAGCUUUAGCACACCCAAGUGUGGGCGAGGGAAACCUGCCCUUGUGCGAAGGCACACGCUAGAAGACCGAAGCGAGCUGAUAUCUUGUAUUGAAAAUGGAAACUACGCUAAGGCGGCCAGGAUUGCAGCUGAGGUGGGCCAGAGCAACAUGUGGAUUUCCACUGACGCUGCUGCCUCCGUCCUGGAGCCCCUGAAGGUGGUAUGGGCCAAGUGCAGCGGCUACCCCUCCUACCCAGCACUGAUUAUUGACCCCAAGAUGCCACGAGUGCCUGGCCACCACAAUGGCGUCACCAUCCCUGCGCCGCCGCUGGAUGUGCUGAAGAUCGGUGAACACAUGCAGACCAAGUCCGAGGAGAAGCUCUUCCUUGUUCUGUUUUUCGACAAUAAGAGGAGCUGGCAGUGGCUUCCCAAGUCCAAGAUGGUCCCUCUUGGUGUCGACGAGACCAUCGACAAGUUGAAAAUGAUGGAAGGGAGGAACUCUAGCAUCCGGAAGGCUGUGCGGAUUGCAUUUGAUCGAGCCAUGAAUCAUCUGAGCCGGGUCCAUGGGGAGCCAGCCAGUGACCUCAGUGACAUUGACUGAGGUGGUUUCCAGCAAAGGCGGUGGCCAAAGCCUCAGCCAGCCGGGAGCUCUGUCCAUAGUGUUGAUAAGCUGUACAUGUUUGUAUAUUGUUCAGAACUUAACUUAUUCUGGUUUUCUAGGCGUAGUUCUUUAAUUCUUUUUCCCCUGGGGAGGGGAGGUUUCACUUCCAAGUUUUCUAUGAAACCAUCUGGUCUUGGCUUUGCAAGUGAGGAGGGUCUGUUGCGAGCAGUGUGGUGUUGGGGUCCCACUGCAGGUGCCGAGGGCCGAGGCCUCACUUAUUCUAAUCUGUAGGGUUUUUUUUUUUUUUUAAAGACUUUUGAAUGUUUAAUAAUUUUGUAGAUCAUGCUCUUUACACAGAGUACCGCUUAUUUAAUAAGACGGGAUGUAAAUUUACAAUGACAAAUGUGUAUUUUAAGAAAGAAAAUGACAUUAUUUUGAAUGGUACUUUGUGCAAAGAGGGAAUAAAUUUAUGCUGUGUGCAUCACUUGCAAAUCACCAAAAAAUGUCCCGCCAGCUGCUGCCGGACAGGGCCCGUUCUCCUCGUUGAUCUGACUGCCCUGAGUCUCCUGCUCUGCCCUGGCUCCUGCAGGCGUGCCUCCCAGCGGGUUAUUUAUUGUAGAAAGUGUACUCAUUUGCUUUAUAAUGAAAAAUAAAUUUGCAAAGGUAUAUUGAUAUGCAUUUUUAUACAGGCACAUAAAAAUUCAACUUGGUGUGGGAGCAGAAUGUGUUGCGAGGUUAUAUACACGACUGGCCUGUGUGUACUUUGAUUUUGUAACUUGUAAUCUUUUGUUUACAAUGAGGAGCUUUCUGUAACUUGUUUUCAUUUAGAACACUUUGGUAGCAAUAGACUUUGGAUACAUUUUGUAUGGUACAUGUGAUGUAUAUAGAAUUAGUCCUUUAUUUUUAUUUCUAAGAGGUAAAGCAUUAUGUUAGGGGAAAGGCAGGGUGGGUUUCCAAAUUUGCAUUUUUAUAUUAAAAAUAAAGUGAAGAUUUGGACAGUGUGGCCCUCUCAUUCCUGCAUCACUAGGAGGCUGGGUGAGCUGUAGCCUGAGGGACGUGAGGGACUCGGAGCACCGGGCCUGGAGUGGGUGGUGUGACACACUUGAUCUAACAGCUGACUCGGGAUGGCAUUAUUUAUUAUUUUGCCUAAUCAUAUUUUUAUUUUAAAGCUAAAUAGUUACUAAAAAUUUUAAAUGUUCUUUUAAAUCUACAUGUUUGUAAUAUCUCCAUAGAAACUUGAAAAUAAAAAGUCUUCCUUUGGUA
Mus musculus (house mouse) is the source of this 10014-nucleotide RNA transcript. It is a transcript of the gene named bromodomain containing 1, with no coding region annotated. The transcript has 13 exons. The record is from RefSeq and is marked validated. NCBI's taxonomy places the organism in Eukaryota, Metazoa, Chordata, Mammalia, Rodentia, Muridae.